ACGAACGCUGGCGGCGUGCUUAACACAUGCAAGUCGAACGGUAAGGCCCUUUCGAGGGUACACGAGUGGCGAACGGGUGAGUAACACGUGGGUAAUCUGCCCUGCACUUCGGGAUAAGCCUGGGAAACCGGGUCUAAUACCGGAUAUGAGCUCCUGCCGCAUGGUGGGGGUUGGAAAGUUUUUCGGUGCAGGAUGAGUCCGCGGCCUAUCAGCUUGUUGGUGGGGUAAUGGCCUACCAAGGCGACGACGGGUAGCCG
Molecule: ribosomal RNA, 257 nt
Filed under: uncultured bacterium
Lineage: Bacteria
Description: partial 16S ribosomal RNA
Rfam family: Bacterial small subunit ribosomal RNA
Source: RNAcentral